This 887-nucleotide long non-coding RNA is filed under the name Anser brachyrhynchus (Pink-footed goose). RNAcentral's name for it is "lncRNA (ENSABRG00000010942.1)". Lineage: Eukaryota; Metazoa; Chordata; Aves; Anseriformes; Anatidae. The record is from RNAcentral.
AAUAAAUCUAUACAAGCCACAAGUCACAUCACUCAAGGAAUCCCCGACCAGGGCAAGCCAAACACAAGCAUCUCCCUCAAGGUCAGGCUCACAGGAGGAAUCUAUAAGUAUUGAUCUGAGGAGCAGCUACCUACCAUUUGCCUGCCAACAUCUACAUUUUGAUGUUGUGCGUGCUGUUGUCUUCCAUCUUCCCCUUAGCUACAGAAAGAGGCCUUCCAAGGCACCUGCUUUGCUGUGAAGUGGAAGAAGGGGCUGGCACCGCGCCGUGUCAGAGGCAGCACUUGGGAAUUGGCAAAAAAUCGCAAUUCCUCAGAAAAAUGCAGACCCUGCGACCUGACGAGCACAAAGGUUUUGCUGGAUGGUUCUCUGCGUGACUGAGACACGCGUGUGCUCUGCUCACAAAAUGGUUCUUAUCUCACAAGACGACAAGUGUGUGUGAUCGAAGGAGAACGCAGAGUUGUGGCAUGAACGUGAAGCCCUGCAUUGUGAGGUUUCCAUCUGGGAGCACCUCAGAAAUGCUGGCUGCCUGAUGGCUUUGAACUGGUUUCCUGCCUGGACUGAUUCCUUCAGUCUUUGUGGCAGGUGGAUGGAAGAAGCAAGGAGGGGGGAAGCAUUUCUCACCAACCCUCUGAGGCCAGAAACACGGCACAUUCCCAGGGGCUUUCAGUCCUGCCUCCUCAAAAUCAGUGAGAGCUGAGGCUCCUGUCUUCUCUCAGUGCCUGGGUAACUGCUGAUUCUACCAGCAAAGAUUGAACUUGCGAUCUUCAAUAUCAUAAAACAUCCAAAUUAAAAGCUUGAAUGCUCUACCUGCUCUCUCUGCUACAACAAGCUGCUAAGGAACACAUGCCAACUAAGCCAAUAAAUUAUUUAAGCAGCUAAAACGUACA